RNAcentral lists this long non-coding RNA (210 nucleotides) under Ananas comosus (pineapple). Its description in RNAcentral is "long non-coding RNA (ACOM_LNC002668)". Lineage: Eukaryota; Viridiplantae; Streptophyta; Magnoliopsida; Poales; Bromeliaceae. The record is from RNAcentral.
UAACAACUAUAUGAUAAUAAACUAUAAAUUAUAAAAUAAUAUAAUAAUUCUGUAUUGUACCAUCUGAAUAAGUUCGGAUAGUAAAAGAGAAAUAAGCGUAUAAGAUAAUUAUGUGUAAUUUUUUGAACUGCGGGAGAUAAUUAUGUGUAAUUUUUUGAACUGCGGGAUGGUAAAAUAAAAAUGAGUUAAACCUUGAAAGGAGGCAAAAUU